Molecule: ribosomal RNA, 460 nt
Filed under: uncultured bacterium
Lineage: Bacteria
Description: partial 16S ribosomal RNA
Rfam family: Bacterial small subunit ribosomal RNA
Source: RNAcentral
CCUACGGGUGGCAGCAGUGAGGAAUAUUGGUCAAUGGCCGGAAGUCUGAACCAGCCAAGCCGCGUGAAGGACAAAGGUGCCAAGCAUUGUAAACUUCUUUUGUAUAGGGAUAAAAUCAGCCUCGAGAGCCUGACCGAGGGUACUUGAAGAAAAAGCAUCGGCUAACUCCGUGCCAGCAGCCGCGGUAAUACGGAGGAUCCGAGCGUUAUCCGGAUUUAUUGGGUUUAAAGGGAGCGUAGGUGGAUUGUUAAGUCAGUUGUGAAAGUUUGCGGCUCAACCGUAAAAUUGCAGUUGAAACUGGCAGUCUUGAGUACAGUAGAGGUGGGCGGAAUUCGUGGUGUAGCGGUGAAAUGCUUAGAUAUCACGAAGAACUCCGAUUGCGAAGGCAGCUCACUGGACUGCAACUGACACUGAGGCUCGAAAGUGUGGGUAUCAAACAGGAUUAGAUACCCGGGUAGUC